UGGGCGGAAGCCUGAUCCAGCAACGCCGCGUGAGGGAUGACGGCCUUCGGGUUGUAAACCUCUUUCAUCACCGACGAAGUCCUCGUCUUUGGGUGGGGGUGACGGUAGGUGGAGAAGAAGCACCGGCCAACUACGUGCCAGCAGCCGCGGUAAUA
Molecule: ribosomal RNA, 155 nt
Filed under: uncultured bacterium
Lineage: Bacteria
Description: partial 16S ribosomal RNA
Rfam family: Bacterial small subunit ribosomal RNA
Source: RNAcentral